This 82-nucleotide transfer RNA is filed under the name Colletotrichum falcatum. RNAcentral's name for it is "tRNA-Thr". It matches the Rfam family "tRNA". From Rfam's summary of the family: Transfer RNA (tRNA) molecules are approximately 80 nucleotides in length. Their secondary structure includes four short double-helical elements and three loops (D, anti-codon, and T loops). The record is from RNAcentral. Lineage: Eukaryota; Fungi; Ascomycota; Sordariomycetes; Glomerellales; Glomerellaceae.
GCCUUGUUGGCUAAGUGGUAUAGCGUCUCACUAGUAUCGUAGUGUCAUGAGAAGAUCGGCGGUUCGAUUCCGCCACGAGGCA